UACGGGGGGAGCAAGCGUUGUUCGGAUUUACUGGGCGUAAAGGGCGCGUAGGCGGUCGUGACAAGUCACUUGUGAAAUCUCCGGGCUUAACUCGGAACGGUCAAGUGAUACUGUCGGACUAGAGUACAGAAGGGGCAACUGGAAUUCUCGGUGUAGCGGUGAAAUGCGUAGAUAUCGAGAGGAACGCCUGCGGCGAAGGCGGGUUGCUGGGCUGAUACUGACGCUGAGGCGCGAAAGCCAGGGGAGCGAUCCGG
Molecule: ribosomal RNA, 254 nt
Filed under: uncultured bacterium
Lineage: Bacteria
Description: partial 16S ribosomal RNA
Rfam family: Bacterial small subunit ribosomal RNA
Source: RNAcentral